Long non-coding RNA from Acanthaster planci (crown-of-thorns starfish), 1994 nucleotides. NCBI's taxonomy places the organism in Eukaryota, Metazoa, Echinodermata, Asteroidea, Valvatida, Acanthasteridae. The record is from RefSeq and is a predicted model, not a curated record.
CAAAGGUCAGAUGGAACAGAGACAUGAAAAUGUUACACUUUUGGACCCCUGAUUUCUAGAAUUACCCAUGUACAACUGAAAAUUGCCAGAUGCAAUAUGAUUGAUAUACAUAGCAAAUAUUUUAAAGGCCAUGUACAGUCACACCCAGACAGGACAUAAUUGACCAACUACUGUAGAGCUGCAUCAAAGCUUGUGAAAUAUUGUCUAAUUACAUGUUAUACAUGUAUCCAUACAAAAAUGGAGGCAGGAUGAGCAAAAUCUAGGACAAAUGGAACUCAAUGUACAAAAUUUCAUAGGACUACCUAAGGGUGUAGCUAACUUGCAAACUGCAAUGGAUCAUUUCAAUCCCCCCCCCAACAAAAACUAUUUUAUGGUCCUUUUUUAUUUCUUUCUCCACAACAGUGCUGGAGGAUUGCACAAUGUCAUUAACCAAUUAAUGUUGUUUACAGUGGCUGCAUUCUGUGCAUAUUACUGAACCCAUACAUACAUGAAGGUAGCAGGGUACCAGUGACAGGUAAAAAGGAACAACUCAAAGAAAAAAAAAGGAAAAAAACUGUCACAUUUUACUUGUAUUUUUUCCUUUUAGUAAACAGUUCGCUCAUAUUUUCUUCCCCGUGCUGUGAAUAAGUCUCUUGAAAAAUCCAAUCUCUGUGUGUCUAUGUUUCCCCGAUUCUCAUUGGUCAAUAGUUCAGUCCGGAUUUCUGUGUGUGUUUUUCGCAGUCCAGUGAACACAACCAUAUUAGGAAAGACAAGUGGUAGUGGCUGUGUGUGUGUGUGCAAAUGGUACAUGUAUGCAUCUUUUGUCGAGUGCGCCAUGGUUAGUCUGGUCAGUCAAGUGUGAACAUUCUUGCCAGUUUUUCUUGGGGUGCGGUCCAGUCAGUUGAGGAUCUGAAUCCACUUGAUAGCAGGAGCUUGAUUUGCCUACAGCAGUUUUUUAUUAGCUGUGACAAGGUCCAUGUUUCCUUGUUUAAGAUUGCUGAUACUAAGCAGCAUUUCCAGACAAACAAUCUCUGCUGCCUUUCUUAAAACGGGUAGAAAAUCUCCUAACCAUGGCACUUAAGAUUUGGGGAUUGGAGAAUCUAAGCCCAUAGAAGAAAGCUUUCACCAGUUGAUGCUGGGGCACUGUAGACUGCACUAACCUGGAGGAGACAGUCUAUAGGAAAGGGACAUGAAAGGGACCACUUUGAGCCAACAGGGCCGUGGCUCUUCCUAGUUGGAUUUGGCUUCUCCGUGUAAGAACUGAACUGUUUUAGGUUGUGACAGGGACAUUUCAGCAGAGUUCCCAAUGGAAGGGCUGAUAGAAGUGAGACUGAAAGCGGCAAAAAUUUUGUGAAAGUAAAAACCUUGUAAAUGGACCUGGAGAAUUGAUACAGUUGGAAUAUAAAUCCCGGUGAAACCUCAGUGAAACUGAACCGUGUUUAUAGGGAAACUUAAAUGAAUUCUGAAGUUAGAGGUAGAGGCAGACAGAAGUAGAUUGAUGGAUCCAGAGAGGAUAUGGCAAUUGAAUAAAUUAAAGUAUUGAAUGAGGUUUGAGAGUUCAGUGGAUCCAGAAUUAAGAGCAUUUAUAAACUGAUGGAAGUUGUAAUUUGUGGUAAUGUUGUGCAGUGAAUUGAAGGAAAAUGUGGUGUCUGGAUCCAAUGCGUUCAUAGUCGAGAUUUUCAUUUAUGAGUUGAUGGACUUGUGAUGUCAUAAUCAUAUAAGAGGUUAAAUUACUGCGAAAUUUAUUUCAAUCUGGUACUGGUGAAAUUUGAAUUUUGAUGGUAAAUUUUAACUUACUUCGUGGGUGGUGAAAUUUGAAAAGUUGUCUUUUUAUAGAGGGGGUAGAGUCCUCUUUAGAAAGUUAAACAUCUUGGACUGAAAACAUACUGACAUUAAUAUCAUUAAAGGAAACUGCACAUAAUUAUCUGGGGGUUUAUUUGUUCAUCUUUGGAACAUACUCGAUCGCUUUAUUUGAAGUAAGGAAAUUAAAGUUGUUGGCGUACUGUAAAAAGAAA